UUGGAGGCUCUUGCACAGCUCUGAGGAGUUUGCUGUUUGGAAGCUCUUGCAUGGCUGGGGAGGAGUGUGGAAACCUCCAGGAGCCUCUGCAGCAGAGCCUUUGUGGCUCCUGCUUCUGCAAGCACUCAUGAGUUUAUUCUUUAUUGGUUUUUUUCUCAUCUCAAAUGCUCCACCUGACCUGUAAUACUUUCUGUGAGGUUGUCCAGAUAUAGGGGAGGGGAUGUACUGAUGUAAGAGCAGAGGCACUUCCAAUGAUAAGGGCAGCAGGUCCAGCCUCAAAUUCCCCACUGUGCCAAAAUCCUCUCUUCCUAAGGAGGACACUUUGCAUAUUGUGAUGACCUGACUGGAAGAGAGGUUGAAGCAGAAUGAAGUGUGUGAACGCUGCAGGGACCGCGACUGACAUGAGGGCUGCGUUCCUGGUGCUGCUCCUCUGUGCUGUGGCCUGUGCUCACCCUGUAAGUACCCUCUGGACUGACACUCCCACCCCAAACCCCUUAGUUUUGCCCAGCUGAUCAAAUCAUCACUGAUCAAAUGUCUCCUGGAUGUGUUUAGGUGCCUGGCCAUGAACCCACCCACCCCAGCACCCUGCAGGAGGUAAGCCACAGGUGCCCCUGUCCCAUAGGUAGCAGCCCCUUAGGGAGCAAAUCUGGGAUGGGGAGCCAGCCCUGGGCAGGCAUCCUUGGACCAGGAAUCUGGGAGGGAUCUGCUGCUUCUGUGGGUCUCUGAGCUUUGUCUGUCUGCUCAGUCUUUUCAAGCUGGGUUGCUGUCACCCUGUUUUGGCUUGCCUCCCUGAGAAAGUUCCCUGUUCACCUGAUGCCUUUUGCUGUGCUGGCCCUGAAAAAGGAGUUUCUGUGCUCUGAACUAGCCCAGCUUGGGCUUUUCUGGGCUGCCCUUUUGUUGGUGGCUACCACUUUAUUUUGUAUCAGCAGAAAUAACUAAAGGGCUGAGGUGCAAGAAAUAAAAAAGGCUUGAGCUCUUGCAUGGCUCAGGAGUGAGCAGUAGCAGUAAACAUGGUGUGGCUGAUGUUUAA
RNAcentral lists this long non-coding RNA (1030 nucleotides) under Ficedula albicollis (Collared flycatcher). RNAcentral's name for it is "lncRNA (ENSFALG00000026116.1)". The record is from RNAcentral. Lineage: Eukaryota; Metazoa; Chordata; Aves; Passeriformes; Muscicapidae.